Molecule: ribosomal RNA, 253 nt
Filed under: uncultured bacterium
Lineage: Bacteria
Description: partial 16S ribosomal RNA
Rfam family: Bacterial small subunit ribosomal RNA
Source: RNAcentral
UACGUAGGGUGCGAGCGUUAAUCGGAAUUACUGGGCGUAAAGCGUGCGCAGGCGGUUUUGUAAGACAGCCGUGAAAUCCCCGGGCUCAACCUGGGAAUGGCGAUUGUGACUGCAAGGCUGGAGUGCGGCAGAGGGGGAUGGAAUUCCGCGUGUAGCAGUGAAAUGCGUAGAUAUGCGGAGGAACACCGAUGGCGAAGGCAAUCCCCUGGGCCUGCACUGACGCUCAUGCACGAAAGCGUGGGGAGCAAACAGG